GGAUGUAUGGCUGAGAGGCCGAAGGCGCCCGCUUGGAAAGCGGGUGAACCGCAAGGUUCCGUAGGUUCGAAUCCUACUGCAUCCGCCA
RNAcentral lists this transfer RNA (88 nucleotides) under Caulobacter virus Karma. RNAcentral's name for it is "tRNA-Ser". It matches the Rfam family "tRNA". Rfam says of the family: Transfer RNA (tRNA) molecules are approximately 80 nucleotides in length. Lineage: Duplodnaviria; Heunggongvirae; Uroviricota; Caudoviricetes; Jeanschmidtviridae. RNAcentral also lists the same sequence under 6 other names. The record is from RNAcentral.